Molecule: long non-coding RNA, 1103 nt
Organism: Scylla paramamosain (green mud crab)
Lineage: Eukaryota; Metazoa; Arthropoda; Malacostraca; Decapoda; Portunidae
Exons: 2
Source: RefSeq, a predicted model, not a curated record
AACAAUGGGUGUAUCCACGUUGUCCUCUUCUUUCUCCUGUAGAGUGUUCUGUACGCAGAGUAUGCGAUGAGAACAUCACUCAUUUCCUCACUCAUUUCCAUAACGACACUUCUUACUUCCUCAACUGCUGUCACUGCACUGCAAGCUGAAGUGGAACACGACGUCCCGUGUGAAGGUAGAUGCGUUUUUUCGACCCGCGUCGAAAACGACGCGCGUCGAAAAAACGCUAAAGUGUGAAGGCAGCCUUACUGAAGAAUAUGUACAGAAAGGACAGGAAAAGUGGUAAGACAGUUUUUUGCCUUUCAAGGGGCCUUACGUUAUCGUAAAGAUUUACGACAAUCAAGUUUGUACACUGAAGAAUGAAAAAGGUGAAGUUCUGAAGAUGAAGCAAAAUAUUGCUAACUUGAAGCCAUUCUUUGCUCCUCCCAAAGAUGAAAGUCUAGAGGAAGAAAAGGAAAAGGAAAAAGAGACAGCUGAAGAUGAUGUUAGUCAACAAGAUCGAACGAAAUACUCCCUACGCUUACAACCCUGUCACUGGCCAUUGGCAAAAUCAAAAGGCUGCUCAACUACAACUGACUGUUCAGAGCAUUCGUCGCCCACGAAAAAGAGGAUGUUUACUCACCAAGCCAGCAACACUUGAGAGGAUGAAUGGUGAUGGUAAUUGUUUCUUUCGGGCUAUCUCGUUUGCUAUUACUGGGGCGGAGUCAUCGCACAUCACAAUUAGGAAGGCUAUUGUUAACCAUAUGACGGCAAAAACAGAAGAGUUAAAAAGCCAUGUGCAACACGUUGAAGAACAUCUGGGCAAGAUGACAACGACCAGUGAAUGGGCAACAGAUGCUGAGCUAUUUGCAGCGGAUUCACUACUUCAAACAGACAUAAUGCUGUGGUUGCAGAGAGGAGAUUGGGCCCUGUUUGGACGAAAUGUCUUGGAAAAGUCAUGUAGUCUCAGCGAUUCGGACCUUUGUGAUAAACGUGUUAUUUACCUGCAAAAUACCAACAGUAACCAUUUUGAUUAUGCCAAAGGAAUUAUGUAGAUGCAGAUCGUAAAUAUAAAUGGAUGUUAUUGAUCAUCUGCAGAGGGACAAAUAUACAAUCUGAGGUAA